ACGCUGGCGGCGUGCCUAAUACAUGCAAGUAGAACGCUGAAGGAGGAGCUUGCUCUCUCUGGAUGAGUUGCGAACGGGUGAGUAACGCGUAGGUAACCUGCCUGGUAGCGGGGGAUAACUAUUGGAAACGAUAGCUAAUACCGCAUAACAGUAGAUGUUGCAUGACAUUUGCUUAAAAGGUGCAAUUGCAUCACUACCAGAUGGACCUGCGUUGUAUUAGCUAGUUGGUGGGGUAACGGCUCACCAAGGCGACGAUACAUAGCCGACCUGAGAGGGUGAUCGGCCACACUGGGACUGAGACACGGCCCAGACUCUACGGGAGGCAGCAGUAGGGAAUCUUCGGCAAUGGACGGAAGUCUGACCGAGCAACGCCGCGUGAGUGAAGAAGGUUUUCGGAUCGUAAAGCUCUGUUGUAAGAGAAGAACGAGUGUGAGAGUGGAAAGUUCACACUGUGACGGUAUCUUACCAGAAAGGGACGGCUAACUACGUGCCAGCAGCCGCGGUAAUACGUAGGUCCCGAGCGUUGUCCGGAUUUAUUGGGCGUAAAGCGAGCGCAGGCGGUUAGAUAAGUCUGAAGUUAAAGGCUGUGGCUUAACCAUAGUACGCUUUGGAAACUGUUUAACUUGAGUGCAAGAGGGGAGAGUGGAAUUCCAUGUGUAGCGGUGAAAUGCGUAGAUAUAUGGAGGAACACCGGUGGCGAAAGCGGCUCUCUGGCUUGUAACUGACGCUGAGGCUCGAAAGCGUGGGGAGCAAACAGGAUUAGAUACCCUGGUAGUCCACGCCGUAAACGAUGAGUGCUAGGUGUUAGACCCUUUCCGGGGUUUAGUGCCGUAGCUAACGCAUUAAGCACUCCGCCUGGGGAGUACGACCGCAAGGUUGAAACUCAAAGGAAUUGACGGGGGCCCGCACAAGCGG
This 915-nucleotide ribosomal RNA is filed under the name uncultured bacterium. RNAcentral describes it as "bacterial SSU rRNA". It matches the Rfam family "Bacterial small subunit ribosomal RNA", at positions 33 to 932 of the family's 1533-position model. The record is from RNAcentral.